RNAcentral lists this ribosomal RNA (460 nucleotides) under uncultured bacterium. Its description in RNAcentral is "partial 16S ribosomal RNA". It matches the Rfam family "Bacterial small subunit ribosomal RNA", at positions 338 to 795 of the family's 1533-position model. The record is from RNAcentral.
CCUACGGGGGGCAGCAGUGAGGAAUAUUGGUCAAUGGGCGCGAGCCUGAACCAGCCAAGUCGCGUGAAGGAUGACUGCCCUACGGGUUGUAAACUUCUUUUAUAAAGGCAUAAAGUGAGGCACGUGUGCCUUUUUGUAAGUACUUUAUGAAUAAGGAUCGGCUAACUCCGUGCCAGCAGCCGCGGUAAUACGGAGGAUCCGAGCGUUAUCCGGAUUUAUUGGGUUUAAAGGGAGCGUAGAUGGGUUGUUACGUCAGUUGUGAAAGUUUGCUGCUCAACCGUAAAAUUGCAAUUGAUACUGGCAGCCUUGAGUACAGUUGAGGUAGGCGGAAUGCGUGGUGUAGCGGUGAAAUGCAUAGAUAUCACGAAGAACUCCGAUUGCGAAGGCAGCCUACUAAACUGCCACUGACAUUGAUGCUCGAAAGUGUGGGUAUCAAACAGGAUUAGAUACCCGGGUAGUC